RNAcentral lists this ribosomal RNA (1492 nucleotides) under uncultured bacterium. RNAcentral's name for it is "16S ribosomal RNA". It matches the Rfam family "Bacterial small subunit ribosomal RNA". The record is from RNAcentral.
GAUUCUGGCUCAGGAUGAACGCUGGCGGCAUGCCUAAUACAUGCAAGUCGAACGGAGUGAAGCCUUCGGGUUUCAUUCAGUGGCGAACGGGUGAGUAAUACGCAGGGAACCUGGCCAUGGCAGGGGGAUACACUCUGGAAACGGAGCAUAAGACCCCAUAGGCAGUAAGGCGGCAUCGCCUUACUGUUAAAGAAAGCUGAAAGGCUUUGGCGAUGGAUGGACCUGCGGUGCAUUAGCUUGUUGGUGAGGCAACGGCUUACCAAGGCGAUGAUGCAUAGCCGGCCUGAGAGGGCGGACGGCCACACUGGGACUGAGACACGGCCCAGACUCCUGCGGGAGGCAGCAGUAGGGAAUUUUCGUCAAUGGGCGCAAGCCUGAACGAGCAAUGCCGCGUGAGUGAGGAAGGUCUUCGGACUGUAAAGCUCUGUUGCCGGGGAAAAAGGGGAAAUGCAGGAAAUGGCAUUUCAUGGAUGGUACCCGGCCAGAAAGCCACGGCUAACUACGUGCCAGCAGCCGCGGUAAUACGUAGGUGGCGAGCGUUAUCCGGAAUGAUUGGGCGUAAAGGGUGCGCAGGCGGUCUGUUAAGUCUGAAGGCAAAGGGAUGAGCUCAACUCAUUUAUGAUUCAGAAACUGGCAGACUUGAGGACAGGAGAGGGCGGUGGAACUCCAUGUGUAGCGGUAAAAUGCGCAGAGAUAUGGAAGAACACCAGUGGCGAAGGCGGCCGCCUGGCCUGUGACUGACGCUGAGGCACGAAAGCGUGGGGAGCAAAUAGGAUUAGAUACCCUAGUAGUCCACGCCGUAAACGAUGAGGAGCAGGUGUUGGGAGUGAAAUCUCAGUGCCGAAGCCAACGCAGUGACUCCUCCGCCUGGGGAGUAUGCACGCAAGUGUGAAACUCAAAGGAAUUGACGGGGGCCCGCACAAGCGGUGGAGUAUGUGGUUUAAUUCGAAGCAACGCGAAGAACCUUACCAGGUUUUGACAUCGGAUGCGAAGGCGCAGAGAUGCGCUGGAGGCUAUCAUCCAGACAGGUGGUGCAUGGUUGUCGUCAGCUCGUGUCGUGAGAUGUUCAGUUAAGUCUGGCAACGAGCGCAACCCCCGUGGUAUGUUACUAACGCUUAGGGCGAGGACUCAUAUCAGACUGCCGGUGACAAACCGGAGGAAGGCGGGGAUGACGUCAAAUCAUCAUGCCCCUUAUGACCUGGGCUACACACGUACUACAAUGGCGUCUACAGAGGGAAGCGACCCUGAGAAGGGAAGCGAAACCGGAAAAGGGCGUCCCAGUUCGGAUUGAAGUCUGCAACCCGACUUCAUGAAGAUGGAAUCGCUAGUAAUCGCGGAUCAGCAUGCCGCGGUGAAUACGUUCCCGGGCCUUGUACACACCGCCCGUCAAACCAUGGAAGCCGGCAACGCCCGAAGCCGGUGGCAUAACCUUUUAGGAGUGAGCCGUCGAAGGCGGGGCCGAUGACUGGGGUUAAGUCGUAACAAGGUAUCC